Molecule: long non-coding RNA, 1562 nt
Organism: Mangifera indica (mango)
Lineage: Eukaryota; Viridiplantae; Streptophyta; Magnoliopsida; Sapindales; Anacardiaceae
Exons: 5
Source: RefSeq, a predicted model, not a curated record
GAGCACAAGCUUCACCUGACUAAAACCCUAAAAGGGAAACCCGGGUCUCGUCGGGACGAACUGGAAGGGUUUUAGAGUAGCAGAAGCUAGAGUACAUAGAGCAGAAAUAUUUCGUCUCUGAAAAUUGUGGUGAUUGGGUUUAAACUAGAGCUGUAAAUGGAGAGAUUGAAAGUAUGAGAUGCUAAUUUAGUUCUCUGCUUUUCAAAUUUAGUGAAAUAUUUGAUGGUGUUGUGCUGGCUUACGAUGUCAACAUUCUGGAUGAAAGUGCAAAAAUCCUUUCUGGGAUUCAUCCGUAUUUUGGUGUGAGGCUAAAAUCAAAGCUCUUACUUUUUUCUCCAAAACCAAAUAUGCUAUUAGAAGGAAAAGUAGUGAGGCUUACACAAGAGUCCAUUCAUGUUAUUGUUCUUGGGUUUUCGUCUGCUACUAUAGUAGAUGAUGACAUAUGAGAUGAGUUCUACUAUAAAAUUGUAUGUACUACAUAUUAUUUUGUUUUGGUGUUCUUGGCAUUCUCUCCCUUAUUUCUCUGGAUUGAUUUUACAACUGUUUCUGUGGAAAGUCAAUAAAGAUUACUCACAAAACUUCCUUAUUUCAAACUUAGAAACAUGGUGAAGAAGUUUUUGCUAGCAGAUCCCAUAAGCAGCAUGUGAUAACGGUUGGAACCAUGAUACGAUUUCUGGUCAAGAGUUUUGAUGAGGAAAUCCUUCACAUCUUUGGAUCCUUAAGUCCAGCUCAAACAGUUAGCAUCCGUUGGUUGGAUAGGAAAUCAGAAGAUGUUUCAGUUGAUAGGUUUAAACUUAUCUUGGACUCCUAGCACCUUGAAGUUUUAAAACCUGCAAAACCUUGAUCCUAGUACACCUGCUUAUGACUAUAAUUGCUAUAUGAUUAUGUAGGAGUACUAGGAAGAGGAGGGAGGGUUUGGAGAUAACAGAAAUGCUGGACAAUGGGAUCAUUGGCGAUAGAGCAUCUUCAUUGAGCAACGACCAUUGGAUGAAGAAGUCAAAGAAGCAUAGAUAAGCCGAAGAUCAUUAGAAUUUGCUGUGGAUUUCUCAUUUGUGUCUGAAAGCUUUGUACUAGUAUAAACUCAGACUUCAUAGCCAAUUAGCCAUGUUUACUACCACCUGGUGGGUUCAAUAUGAUGAUCUCUGGAUUUCGAUUGGGCGAUUCUCCUCUUUUUGUGGAUGUAGUAACACAUGUAGAUUUCAAUUGGUCUAUUCAUAGGACUGAUGACUUCACAUGUGAAAUCCUUAUUCUAUUAUCACAUUCAUUUCUGAGAACCCUGCAAACAAAGAAGGAGAAUAAGGCUUAGCAAAAGAUAAUGGGCUCAGAGUUGCUGGAGCUUAACUCAAAACUUGGGCUUAAUCACAUUAUGUAAAGUCAAAGUAAAAGUCUGAACACGCUGCUUUGAUUGUGUGAAAUAGGUUUCUUUUGUUCAAGAUAAUUUAAGUCUAAACAUAUGAAUUGGCUUGUCUAUUUUCCUAUUUGCAAGACUAAUUACGCCCUAUGAGCUCUUUUUUAUUUGAAAAACAUCAAAAUGAGUCCCCAGAUUUGUUCUUUCGAUACCA